Molecule: long non-coding RNA, 2421 nt
Filed under: Androctonus crassicauda
Lineage: Eukaryota; Metazoa; Arthropoda; Arachnida; Scorpiones; Buthidae
Source: RNAcentral
ACAAGGUUAAAGUAUAUAUUGAAAAUUUAAUUUUAAUAAGCAUCGUUCGUCACGUGAUUUUAAUAUAUUAGGAUAAAGUGUGAUUAUUUUUAAUUCCUAACUCGUGUAGUAUUUAUUGUUUGUUAUUAUUUUUGGAUUUAUUAUUAUAAUUUAAAAAAUAAAUACAGUAAUUUAUUUAAAAUGAAUAUAAAAUUAACCACAAUAUUUUAUCAUCGCCACUUGCCUGACUAACGUUGGAUAAAGUCAGUCACCCAAAUAUUGUUAUGACUAUUCAUGAAAAUUUUGAUACAAAUCGUAUCGUUUGUAAACGGCAGGUGUUCGAUGGCAGCUGCCCUCCUUAUUUUCUAAAAAGAAGUACAAACAAAGAAUCUCUGCAUAAACUUAAUUGCACCGGACGUGACGGUUGCCUUAGGUAAUGAAAACGGAAACUGUUUUCCUGUCUCACGCCGAGUGGGCCAUAAAAUCUCUGAUAAUCAUAUACUCAUCAGUUUAUCUUCCCGACAAUAAUCUCAAAUAAGGAUAUUUUACAUUAAUCUCGUAUCCAGUCACCUAUAAAGUUUCCAUUAUAUCGUCUUGUAUCCUCGCCAGUGAUUAAUAAGAGCCUGCCAGGUUAAAAUGUGAAGUAGCACGCAAUUAAGUCACGUGUCAGUUUCUGUCGAACGAUUUCUAGGGAUGUAACGCUUGAAUCUUUUUUUCUGUAUCGCAUUUAGUGUUGCUCGUGUCUUUGACUUCUUUAUCGUCCAUAACGCAAUGAUAGCACGUUUCGUUACUUGUUAAGGAUAACGAUUUAUCGAAUAUGUUUAACUUUUAUAGCCAAACUAAACUGGUCGAACUAAAAAAAAAUUUGAGAUGCUUUAAAUUUUAUUUUCUAUAUGAGAUUUCCUUAUUAGGUUUCUUAUCAAUUACUUAUGAAAGAUGUUUUUUGUAACCGUAACACACCUCAGUUUCGAGGACAGAAAAUGUCACACACCUUUAGAUGAGGUGGAAAAGUCGGAAAAAGCUAUGUUUUUUAAACUAUUCGCCUUUUUAAGCGAUCGCUUUCUACCGCCUACUGACAGCCAGGUGCGAUCCUUAUUCCUACACGCAAUACAACGCUAUAGUCGUAUACGGUAUGUUCCUGACGUCAACGUAACUGACCGCUGCACGGAUUUGGUGACAAAUCUAUCACCGUGUUUCUCAGUCGUUUGGCACGAAUGUCAUUUGAUGUGGCACAGCUGCUGGCUUUGUGUACACACCCGUUCUUAAUUUUUCCCACGGUUUCCAUUCGUGAGUCUUUAAAAAUAUAACGUCACAAUUAUAUAAUAUCCGUGUCCAUUAACACUACAUCGUUCGAAACGCGAAGUUUAAUCUCUGCGGGAAAAUUAGGAGGUUAAACUAUUAUAUCUCCGAUCCCCCUUUCGACCGGAGUUCAGUUUCCUUCAAGGUAAAAGAUCCCGCUCUGAGAUAGAAAGUUCAGAUGUAAGCUGGCGUUUUAUUAACGUUCACUUUCUUUUGAUGUUCUGGGCUGGAAAAAGUUAAAUGUUCGCUUUCGUUAAGGCAGACUACGUGGGCUAAGACCAGAACGUUCACUUUCAAUCAUCGCCCUACGUUUAAAAAUUAUCAGAUUACAAAUAUGAUAAAAUAAUAUAAACAUUGGUUCAUACACUUUAAUGGAGAUAUUCUAAACAUUUAUAUUAAGAGUUCAUGCAAAAAAUUACAAAGUUAUUCACGACUAUUGUACGUCUCGACCGGUAAAAAAAAAAAUUGAAUAACGUUUGGCAUUGAAAUACACCAAAAGUCGCGAUGUUUACGGACUACGAUUCUUCAAUGGGGAUCACUGGACAAAAGCAAUGUCCGGUGUGACGGAUAAAGCCGAAGAACCGAUGUCGAAUGAGGGAGAAGUAGGGAGAAGAGAGAGAGAAAGGAAAAAAGAAAUACUAGACAGGUUAGUGCGGGCAUGACAACAACCCCCCCUACCCGUUAAGUGGUCUGCCUUGAAAAUUCUUCCCCCAUUCUUGUGUUCCAGACGCUGCAGCUGGUCUUUCACCCCCGUUCAUUCCCCCACCACCGCUUGUAUGCCAAUAUAAUUUCAUGGUCGUCUUUAGUCGAAGGGGGAAAAGGUCUUUCAACUCAGAGCGACGCUCGCAGGUUCUCACUAAAACCGGACGUCAUUAGCUUCUUGUGUUAGGGAUUGUCGUCCGCUCUUUAAAGUGCUGAUGAAUCGUAUAGGGCGUUAUAUCUCCGCUAUCGUGAUUUUUCUUGCAGAGAAAAUAAUUAUUGAUGAUCUAAUUUUUAAUCAGUUUGAUACCCACUGCAAAGCGUCAUUAUCUUUGUACCUGUGUGAUUUAGCCUUAUUUGAUUACGCAUUAAAUUUUUUUUCUUUCACGAUUGCUUGCACUUUUUUAACAUGCUUUUUGCUUGGAAUGAUUUUUUACUCCAGUU